AACGAACGCUGGCGGCAUGCCUAACACAUGCAAGUCGAACGAUUGCCUUCGGGUGAUAGUGGCGCACGGGUGCGUAACGCGUGGGAAUCUGCCCUUAGGUUCGGAAUAACAGCUGGAAACGGCUGCUAAUACCGGAUGAUAUCGCGAGAUCAAAGAUUUAUCGCCUGAGGAUGAGCCCGCGUUGGAUUAGGUAGUUGGUGGGGUAAAGGCCUACCAAGCCGACGAUCCAUAGCUGGUCUGAGAGGAUGAUCAGCCACACUGGGACUGAGACACGGCCCAGACUCCUACGGGAGGCAGCAGUGGGGAAUAUUGGACAAUGGGCGCAAGCCUGAUCCAGCAAUGCCGUGUGAGUGAUGAAGGCCCUAGGGUUGUAAAGCUCUUUUACCCGGGAAGAUAAUGGCUGUACCGGGAGAAUAAGCCCCGGCUAACUCCGUG
This 435-nucleotide ribosomal RNA is filed under the name uncultured bacterium. RNAcentral describes it as "partial 16S ribosomal RNA". It matches the Rfam family "Bacterial small subunit ribosomal RNA", at positions 29 to 507 of the family's 1533-position model. The record is from RNAcentral.